RNAcentral lists this ribosomal RNA (427 nucleotides) under uncultured bacterium. Its description in RNAcentral is "partial 16S ribosomal RNA". It matches the Rfam family "Bacterial small subunit ribosomal RNA", at positions 355 to 774 of the family's 1533-position model. The record is from RNAcentral.
UGGGGUAUAUUGUACAAUGGGCGCAAGCCUGAUGCAGCAAUGCCGCGUGUAUGAAGAAGGCCUUCGGGUUGUAAAGUACUUUCAGCGGGGAGGAAGGCGAUAAGGUUAAUAACCUUGUCGAUUGACGUUACCCGCAGAAGAAGCACCGGCUAACUCCGUGCCAGCAGCCGCGGUAAUACGGAGGGUGCAAGCGUUAAUCGGAAUUACUGGGCGUAAAGCGCACGCAGGCGGUCUGUCAAGUCGGAUGUGAAAUCCCCGGGCUCAACCUGGGAACUGCAUUCGAAACUGGCAGGCUAGAGUCUUGUAGAGGGGGGUAGAAUUCCAGGUGUAGCGGUGAAAUGCGUAGAGAUCUGGAGGAAUACCGGUGGCGAAGGCGGCCCCCUGGACAAAGACUGACGCUCAGGUGCGAAAGCGUGGGGAGCAAACA